GAUGAACGCUGGCGGCGUGCUUAACACAUGCAAGUCGAACGUGAGGGUGUAGCAAUAUGCCUGAAAGUGGCGAACGGGUGAGUAACACGUAGAUGACCUGCCCUGGAGUGGGGGAUAACCAUUGGAAACGGUGGCUAAUACCGCAUACAUCCAGAAGAUUGGGAAAUUUUCUGGGGAAAGCUCUGGUGCUCUGGGAGGGGUCUGCGUCCGAUUAGCUAGUUGGUGAGGUAAAGGCUCACCAAGGCGACGAUCGGUAGCUGGUCUGAGAGGACGAUCAGCAACACGGGAACUGAGACACGGUCCCGACUCCUACGGGGGGCAGCAGUGAGGAAUAUUGGGCAAUGGGCGAGAGCCUGACCCAGCAACGCCGCGUGGAGGAAGACGGCCUUCGGGUUGUAAAGCUCUUUUGUCCGGGAAGAUAAUGACUGUACCGGAAGAAUAAGCCCCGGCAAACUUCGUGCCAGCCGCCGCCGUAA
Molecule: ribosomal RNA, 476 nt
Filed under: uncultured bacterium
Lineage: Bacteria
Description: partial 16S ribosomal RNA
Rfam family: Bacterial small subunit ribosomal RNA
Source: RNAcentral